RNAcentral lists this non-coding RNA (80 nucleotides) under unclassified sequences. The record is from RNAcentral.
GGCUAUCACUACAUGGUUAAUAUUAAUGUAGCCAUUCAAUAGAAUGAGAGUCCAAAGCCUCUAUAAAUACAGAUGGAUAU